GGCUGGUCCGAUGGUAGUGGGUACACAGAAAUUAUUACUGUCAGUUAAACUACCCUAACUCUAUUCCACCUCACUGCUAACCUCGACUGGUCUUUU
This is a non-coding RNA of Corvus brachyrhynchos (American crow), 96 nucleotides long. It matches the Rfam family "Y RNA". Rfam says of the family: Y RNAs are components of the Ro ribonucleoprotein particle (Ro RNP), in association with Ro60 and La proteins. Lineage: Eukaryota; Metazoa; Chordata; Aves; Passeriformes; Corvidae. The record is from Rfam.